This 480-nucleotide ribosomal RNA is filed under the name uncultured Rhodoferax sp. RNAcentral describes it as "bacterial SSU rRNA". It matches the Rfam family "Bacterial small subunit ribosomal RNA", at positions 900 to 1382 of the family's 1533-position model. The record is from RNAcentral. Lineage: Bacteria; Pseudomonadati; Pseudomonadota; Betaproteobacteria; Burkholderiales; Comamonadaceae.
CUCAAAUGAAUUGACGGGGACCCGCACAAGCGGUGGAUGAUGUGGUUAAUUCGAUGCAACGCGAAAACCUUACCCACCUUUGACAUGUACGGAACCCUUUAGAGAUAGAGGGGUGCUCGAAAGAGAGCCGUAACACAGGUGCUGCAUGGCUGUCGUCAGCUCGUGUCGUGAGAUGUUGGGUUAAGUCCCGCAACGGGCGCAACCCUUGUCAUUAGUUGCUACAUUCAGUUGGGCACUCUAAUGAGACUGCCGGUGACAAGCCGGAGGAAGGUGGGGAUGACGUCAAGUCCUCAUGGCCCUUAUAGGUGGGGCUACACACGUCAUACAAUGGCUGGUACAAAGGGUUGCCAACCCGCGAGGGGGAGCCAAUCCCAUAAAGCCAGUCGUAGUCCGGAUCGUAGUCUGCAACUCGACUACGUGAAGUCGGAAUCGCUAGUAAUCGUGGAUCAGAAUGUCACGGUGAAUACGUUCCCGGGUCUU